Molecule: ribosomal RNA, 262 nt
Filed under: uncultured Staphylococcus sp.
Lineage: Bacteria; Bacillati; Bacillota; Bacilli; Caryophanales; Staphylococcaceae
Description: partial 16S ribosomal RNA
Rfam family: Bacterial small subunit ribosomal RNA
Source: RNAcentral
CGUUAUCCGGAAUUAUUGGGCGUAAGCGCGCGUAGGCGGUUUUUAAGUCUGAUGUGAAAGCCCACGGCUCAACCGUGGAGGGUCAUUGGAAACUGGAAAACUUGAGUGCAGAAGAGGAAAGUGGAAUUCCAUGUGUAGCGGUGAAAUGCGCAGAGAUAUGGAGGAACACCAGUGGCGAAGGCGACUUUCUGGUCUGUAACUGACGCUGAUGUGCGAAAGCGUGGGGAUCAAACAGGAUUAGAUACCCUGGUAGUCAAGGGCG